This 139-nucleotide ribosomal RNA is filed under the name uncultured bacterium. RNAcentral describes it as "partial 16S ribosomal RNA". It matches the Rfam family "Bacterial small subunit ribosomal RNA", at positions 219 to 353 of the family's 1533-position model. The record is from RNAcentral.
CAUCGGAUGUGCCCACGAUGGGAGUUAGCUAGUAGGUGAGGUAACGGCUCACCUAGGCGACGAUCCCUAGCUGGUCUGAGAGGAUGACCAGCCACACUGGAACUGAGACACGGUCCAGACUCCUACGGGAGGCAGCAUG